GAUGCAUGUCGUCGCGGUCCUCGGCCAGCCCAUCCCGCGCGUCGCUUGCGCGUGUAUUGGCUGAGGCACGGCAGGGACGGCAGUCACGACAUGCCUCCUCGGCCCAGCUGCAGCGGUACCUCCUUCGGUGGUUUCCACGGGGCCUGUGGUCAUUCAUCUACCGGGCAUCUCCCCGUGGGGGGCAAGGCGUAGCCGCGAAGGCAAAUGUAUACCGCCGGUUUUGCAGGGACCCGCCUCGUGUGUCACACGAAUGGACCGCAGCGCUGCAGCUUGUGGAGCUUGCCUGUCUAGUGGACACGAUGCCGGGCACCUCCCUGUCGAAGGGGCACCACGAAGCAGGACUGCCAAUAAGCAUACCUACACCCGAACCUGACUCGGUGGUGCAAGCGACGGAGCAUCUUUUGCGGUAUGGUGUAUUUCCGCCAGCCGGCUGGGCGCUGACGCUGCGGCUCCUCCAUCAAUGGCGGGAGAGACAGCCACGCGCGCGACUGCAUGUGUUCCCGACCUCUCUCAGCCCUCCUGCUGCAGCACAGCUGCUGCACCACAUCAGCCUCGCCCCGCCGUCGCAACAAGCGUGGCAGGAUGCGCUGUGUCUCUACCACCUCUGCGCCACAGAGGUGCACACCCCAUCCAGCAACGGCCAACCUUUAUCCACCAAAACAGUAGCGUCUCCGUCACCGCCGAUGAGCACGGCAGAUACAGCGGUCCACUCCGCCUUCCUGAAGGCACUGCGCCACAUGACCCUUACGACUUUUCUGCAGGCCGAUGAGUGGGAGAGAGGGCUCCACUUUUACUAUCACACCCUCUAUCAGCGUGACUUGCCAGGUCCCAUAACGACAUCAUACUUGGUGCAGCAGCUGGGCCGUGCCGGACAAUGGGCGGCGGUACUGCAGGUGUAUGAGCUGUGCGUGAAGUUGCUCCACGCGCAACGGCACCAACGCGAGCAGCAGCAGCGGCUGCCCCUGCAUGGGGACGACUGGUCGUCGCGGCAGUGGGGGACCACGCUCUCGAUGGCGAUGGCCGCGGCACAAAACUCUCCUGGCGCCCCUGCGAGCACUCUCGCCGCGAUGAUGCGGCAGCUGCAGCCGGGCAUCGGCACCACAUCUACCCUCUCCACCGGUAUGACUGGCGCCGCUUCCUCUUCCUCUCCCCCUCUAGUGCGACUGAGCGGCCACUUCCUCUCCGCUCUGCAGGCGCUCCCCUCGGAGAAGGACCGCUUGACGGUGCUGGGCCUCGCCCGGAGCGGAUCUCUGCUGGACAUCUUUAAGCUCAUUCGGGGUCUGAUCUCGAAGCAUAAGUGGGAAGAGGCACUGCUGCUGUUCGAGGAAGCCAUGCGCUCCAAGCCGGCCCGCACGUUAAGCCCCGAUCCUCGAAGCGGGGGCGCUCCAGGGCCCCACGCAUCUGCGGAGCCCACUAUUAGGAAACCGCUUGCCCUUUCUCGGAGAGAGAUCGGAGAGGCACGGCUCGGCUUUCUUCACGAGGCCACCAUCGACUCGGUGACCGCAGUCGUGGCGGCGCUGAAUCGGCACCGCAGUGCAACAGGGAAGCUACGCGCCGGCGCCCAGCGAGAGGGCGAAGGCGCCCGUCACCCUCCUUGCGCGGCUGAAGUGAACUCGAUGCGGCUGAUGCUGAAUGACCGAGAGGUGGAGUGCGUUUUAUCGAAGACUUUGGCGCUGAGAGAGGCGGAACAUCGCGUUCUCUCUCCCGCGGCGCUUGGGACCCGCGAGCACUUCUGGCGCUACUGCCUUGAACUCCUCGCUUUCAACUACGGUGCGCUUCCCUGUGGCGACGCGAGUGCGAAGGUGUCUCGCUCGCCUGAACAAGGGAACGAAGGGCACAGCGGCCCUCCUCGUUCACCGCGCCGUACACCGACACUGGCGGCGCUGUCGUUCCUGCUGCGUCACCCACAGCUCCCCUGGCAUGUGGCUCUGCGGCUCCUUCGGCAUUACGGUGUUUUAGAGACGUGUCCAGAUGAAAGAGCUGCUGCGAGCACACGCGCCACAGGCCGCCGCGCUGCAUCACCUUCAUCGGUGGUUCAGCGGACCACGAUGUCCUCGCCGCCGACGCCACGUUCGCUGACGUUGGCUGCCGCUGUGGAACUCCUCCGCACUCAGGGACAACUCCAAGCAGCGGAGAAGCUGGCGUUAGAGUCUCUAGACAUGGAGGUGGCAGAGAAGAGUCUCGGCGCGGGAGCUGUCGUCUCACUCUCUGCGGCACUGCUGGAGGUUGCACAAUACCCAACCCUGCGGAGCGUGCUGCUGGAAAGGGAAGAGGAGAGGCUGACAGUCGAGGGGUCGACGCUGUUCCACUUACUGCACGAGAGCACGCGUGUAAGAAGGACCCAGGGGGAGGAUCACGAUGAUGAUGGCGUUCAUGGGACGUCCUGUGAAACCGCCAACUCUUCUGCGCCCCCCUGGUGGGCGGGCAGCGCCGCCUUCUUCCAGCACCCGAGCGGACGUGCCCUCACAGUGGUGUGGCUGUUGAUGCAGCGACGCAUGCACCCUCAGAUGACCACCACUGAUGCGGCGCGGCAAGACGGCUCUGGAAGUUUGCUGUCCUCUCUGUUUCUCUGCGUACCUCCACCGCCAACAGCCUCCGUCGCCGCUGCAAGCUUGGCGGCCCCUCUCCACUCGUGGCUCCUGGCGUACCCCGUAGCCGUGCACUGCGAGGUAGUGCGCGCCAUCAAGUGUCUGACUUCGCCGUCGGCACCGUCCAUGUCGUCCACUUCCUCUUCCCCAGAGGCAGGUCUGUGCUACACACAGCGAUGGGUAUGGACGCGGCGCUACCUUGCAUCUCUUGCAGCGCACUUCUCUGCACCUUGCACCGACACACGGGCACGUAGCGAGGAGGGGUCUUUUGUAGAGAACGAGCCUGGCCAUGCAGCAGCGGAUGCGGUGGCGAGGGAGGCUUAUUACGGUGCCACCUUCGAGGCAGUCGUUUCUCUUUUGGAUGCUGCGGUGCCGAGGACCCCCGACUCGCGCGAUCGGGUAAGCCAACGGAUGCAAAUGGAUGCAUUCACUCCUGCAACGGUCGCGGAACAAGGCGGAGCUGCUCCGCGCAAUUCUGCGCAGCGGGUCCAGCAGCUAUGCCAACUGCUGGAGCGCGCUAUUAUGCGCUACGGAUGCCUGCCGCCGACGCACAUGCUUUUGCCAAACCAGCUGGACCGCCUUCUUCCACCGCUGCCGCGCUCAGGUCUACCCUCCACUGAUGUGAGUGUUGGAGAGAAACAAUCACGACAUGACUGCGUCGACCGUGAUGGCGCAUGCGCGGAGCGCUGCGCGGUGGCGCUUCACUUGGUUCGGCUCGUUUUGGGUGCUCUCAAAGACGCGGGGGCACGCUAUUCCGUGGAGCCGGUGCUGCUGCACGGCCUUCUGAAGCUCUGCUGCCGUGUUGCCGAGCAUGACCAGGCCUCUUUGACGGUUGCUAAGGGGGCAGUAGGCUCUGACAUCGACAGCAGCGCUGAAGUCAGCAGAGCUGGCGCGAUGUUGGUGCGGCUGCAAUGUGAGCUGUGUGGCCUGCAGACAGUACGCCCGGGCACCCUCUCGCUCCUGUACCACUUGUGUGCCGCUGCACAGUCACGCGCCAGCUCUUACGGCCACACUGUCCCGCGGCAGGUGGCCCUCGAGACCACUCGUUACCUAUUAGAGGCGCAGACCGCGGCGGCUGCGCGGAAGGAUCAGCGACAUCAACGGCAGGAGGGUGCACUGCCGAGCGCCACGUCGGCCUCUACCGCGUCAUCGUUGCGGCCCCAAAAUGGGCAGCAGCGCCUCGACGCGCUAAGCCCCUUUUGCGCAGUUCAGGCGCGCCACUGCGAACUCUUCUUCUCGUUGUUAGGGUGGGAGGACGCGCUGGAGGUGUGGUAUCGCGCUUAUCCCCACGAGGUCCUCACUCAGCUUUCGAGAAACCCGCAGGCGGUGGAGGCCUGCCUAAGCCUUGGUGAGAGCAGUCAAAUCUGAGAGCAGCACGUUACCGCCUCGUGGCUCCGAAUGGAACGCGUGAUGGGACGUCGACUUCGAUGUGCUCGUCUGCGUACGUUCCUCUCAGGUAUCGCCUGCCAGCGUACGUCAGGGUGUUGUGAUGCCCUCUCGGUAUGCGCGCGGUGCCUCGCUUUCUCUGUGUAUGUCGCCUCCAUUUCCUUUGUUCCUCGCACAUUUUUCGCAUCCCAACAGUC
This 4171-nucleotide unclassified non-coding RNA is filed under the name Leishmania donovani. RNAcentral's name for it is "gene:LdHU3.31.4890(CDS-product:hypothetical_prote in_conserved)". Lineage: Eukaryota; Euglenozoa; Kinetoplastea; Trypanosomatida; Trypanosomatidae. The record is from RNAcentral.